GACGUAGGGCGCGAGCGUUGUCCGGAUUUAUUGGGCGUAAAGAGCUCGUAGGCGGCUCGUUGCGUCGGCUGUGAAAACCCACAGCUUAACUGUGGGCCUGCAGCCGAUACGGGCGAGCUAGAGUUCGGUAGGGGAGACUGGAAUUCCUGGUGUAGCGGUGAAAUGCGCAGAUAUCAGGAGGAACACCGGUGGCGAAGGCGGGUCUCUGGGCCGAUACUGACGCCGAGGAGCGAAAGCGUGGGGAGCGAACAGG
This 253-nucleotide ribosomal RNA is filed under the name uncultured bacterium. RNAcentral's name for it is "partial 16S ribosomal RNA". It matches the Rfam family "Bacterial small subunit ribosomal RNA", at positions 524 to 776 of the family's 1533-position model. The record is from RNAcentral.